CUGCUAUAUGUCGUUGGGCUACUCAAUAAAAAGGUGAUUGAUACAUCAUACAAGAGGGGGAAUCUAACGUGAUAAUAGUCCCAUAACAUUGCUACACUUUUGUUGUCUUUUGCAUACCCACACACAAAUAGAAACCUUCAAGUUACACAGGUCAUCAUACUGUUAUAUGAACUUUCAGAAAAUUAAAACUGCAAUCCAACUCUGCAGCCAUCAUUCAGUCAAAAAUUAUUCCAGCCUAUCAUCAAAGCAUAAGCAAAACCUAGUAUCGAGCCAUUAUUGUACAAAACCAAGUGUCAUCGGUUCAGUAUAGAGGGCUAGAGGCGGACAUGGAGCCAAUUCUAAACCAUGUUCUUAGGAUCAAAACCAAGUGUCAUCAGUUCAGUAUAGAGGCGGACAUGGAGCCAAUUCUAAACCCUGUUCUUAGGAUCCCGCGGUGGAUGAGUUCCCAGCAUCAUUUUUCUUCAUGUCUUCAAACUUAUCAAUGGCGACCUGCAGCUCAUCUGUGCCUCCCACCGCUCUCAUGGUGUAGUAAUACAC
RNAcentral lists this long non-coding RNA (537 nucleotides) under Oryza sativa (Asian cultivated rice). RNAcentral describes it as "long non-coding RNA (OSAT_LNC000895)". Lineage: Eukaryota; Viridiplantae; Streptophyta; Magnoliopsida; Poales; Poaceae. The record is from RNAcentral.